CCAAUAGCGUAUAUUAAAGUUGUUGCAGUUAAAAAGCUCGUAGUUGAAUUUCGGGAUCAAUAUGUUGGUCGUGCCUUGGUACGUACUGGCGUCAUUGGUUUCUACCUUCUGAAGAACCUCGAUGUCAUUAAUUUGGUGUCUUGGGGAAUCAGGACUGUUACUUUGAAAAAAUUAGAGUGUUUAAAGCAAGCUCACGCUUGAAUACAUUAGCAUGGAAUAA
This 220-nucleotide ribosomal RNA is filed under the name uncultured Glomus. RNAcentral describes it as "partial small subunit ribosomal RNA". It matches the Rfam family "Eukaryotic small subunit ribosomal RNA", at positions 591 to 817 of the family's 1831-position model. The record is from RNAcentral. Lineage: Eukaryota; Fungi; Glomeromycota; Glomeromycetes; Glomerales; Glomeraceae.